UGAAAACCGGAUUACCCCUCCAAAAGUCCUUUUCACUGCAUCUCUACGUUUGUUUUGUCAGUUCUCCACAAACCGAGCUUCACAUCUCAACCAUGGCUCCCUGAUAUCACGAGGGAAAAUCUACUUCUCCUUCUCAGUAAGUUUUUAUUUCUUUUCUUCCCUUAUCUUGUUACUUCCCCUUAUUAACCUCAUUCUCUAUUAUUACACGAAAGUCUUUCUCUAAAAAACUUUUUUUUUUCUUUUUUUCCUUCCCUUUUUUGUUACUUCUCUUUGUCCAAGGUAUCUAUUUUCUGUUUGUUGAGUAACAACUGUUGGGGUUUUGAUGUUGGUUUGUACUUGUUUUGUUUGCUGAAACCCAGAAAUUUUCAGCAUUAUUUUACAUAGUAAAUGUAGUUUUAGUGAAAUAUUAAUGAUUUUUACCAUUCUCAACCUCAUUGCGCCCAAGUCGCCCUAUGCUGCACUAAUAUAAGUGAAUAAAACAAGUGAUGUCAGGUGAAAAUAUCGCAGUAGAUUAGCAUUUUAAUUCCUUCCAGAUUUAAAAACAAAUCAAUAUGUAAAAACAAGGCUCAGCAUCUCUACUUUGAGAUAUUUUGUCUCCCGCAAGUCUUUCUAGAUUAAAGUUGAAGUUGGAGUGGAUUGAAUUUGUGAAUGUAAGAAUACAAAAAGAAAUGUGGUAGUUACCAGUACAAAAAGGAGUUGAUUGCAUCUUCAUUGUGUGCUUUUAUGAGAUUUAUAUGAUGGAGUUUAUUAUUAUAAAAUUUUAUUUUCUCUGUUUUGCUAGCUUCCUAAAUGGAUUGUGAAAAAUAAAGUUCAUCCCUUUCUAUUUCUUUACUUGAUUAGCUUUCCCACAAGAUCAUAAAUGAGUAAUCACGCAGCACCUCCUAAUCAAGCGUCGAAAAGGUCAAGGAGAUCAACACCUCAGUGUCGAAGGACAUGGACACUAGAAGAAGAACGCACUCUUGUUGUUGGUUUAAAAGAUUUAAGUACUAUAGGUUGGAAAGCUGAUAAUGGAACCAUUUAAGAAUGGAUACUUGAUGGAAUUAUAGCAUCAUUUAUAGAAAGUUCUUCCUAACUGUGGAUUAAAAUCUGCACCACAUAUUAAUUCUAAAUUGAAAGCAUGGAAGAGGGACUAUAGUACUAUAGUUUCAUUAAAAAGUCUAAGUGGAUUGGGCUUUCAAUAUGGUGAAGGAAGAAUUAUAGUUGAUGAUCUAACAAAAUGGGAUGAGUUUGUUAAGAUCAUGGACACCGUCAAAGUCAACAACAAGCUAAAAAUACUAGAAGCUCCUCUUCUAAUAUCAAUGAUAAGGAGAAAAGCAGAAAAAGAAAAAAGAUCUAUAGACAAAUGAUGACGAGACGAUUUUAAAGAGUUUAGUCGAUGUUAUGAAGCAAUUUAUGGAAAACCAUGACAAAAGGAUGGGUGCUUUAGUUGAAAGGUUUGGGGGGCGUGAUGAGUCUGAAAUUCGUGGAAAAGUUCUAGAUAUCCUCUCGUCCCCUGCUUUUUAGUUGUACACUUCAGAACAACAAAUCAAGGCAGCAAUGGGGCUUACUUCUGAGGUUAGAAGAAUGGAUAUGUUCUUACGGAUGGGUGAACUUGAACGUCAGAAUAUGGUCUGGAUGAUUAUCAAUGAUACAUUUCCAAGUAUAUAAGAUAUAAUUGUAAAGGUUGGGCAUGAGUUUGAUGGUUUUUGCUAAAUUGACGACCUUCAAAAUGUUUAAUAGAUGUAUUAUAUUUUUGAUGCCUUAGCUCCAUAAACUUGAUAUGUGACUAGUAUGAGCAUGAGGAUGCAUAUGUAAAUGUAAUGCAUGAAUGCUAAUUGGUAUGGGGAUCAUACCUUUUGUCUAUUUAUAGCUUUUUAUGAUUGUGUGAUAUUGUUUUAAUAUUUGCGA
Molecule: long non-coding RNA, 1887 nt
Organism: Nicotiana tabacum (common tobacco)
Lineage: Eukaryota; Viridiplantae; Streptophyta; Magnoliopsida; Solanales; Solanaceae
Source: RefSeq, a predicted model, not a curated record